This 307-nucleotide long non-coding RNA is filed under the name Elaeis guineensis (African oil palm). Its description in RNAcentral is "long non-coding RNA (EGUI_LNC050554)". Lineage: Eukaryota; Viridiplantae; Streptophyta; Magnoliopsida; Arecales; Arecaceae. The record is from RNAcentral.
GUGAGUUUUCUGAUAGUGUCUCACAUCUAAAACUCUUUCUCCUAUUUCUCAUCUUUAGAAGACUCCAAAUCAAGAAGAAUGAGGCAUCUGAUCGACCAUCGAAGAAGGAUCAGCACAGUACUAGCAUACUGUGCUGAUUUUGUGGACCAAGACUUCUGAUCGUGAUUCGUGGGCUUGUGUGGAUAACUCCUAGAGGCCAGACGUAUGUGCGGCUUGCAACAUCAUCCUCAAUCUCAGAUCAGCAAAGUUAGAAUGUCUAACUUGCAAGGUAAUAGAUCUAAUCUAUUAUAUUUUACAUACAUUAGAU